This 582-nucleotide ribosomal RNA is filed under the name Triticum aestivum (bread wheat). RNAcentral describes it as "partial small subunit ribosomal RNA". Lineage: Eukaryota; Viridiplantae; Streptophyta; Magnoliopsida; Poales; Poaceae. The record is from RNAcentral.
AUGAGUAACAGAAAUCCUGAUACAUGGAGAUUUAAAUGGGCCUCUGGACACUACAAUGCUAAGAAAGUCUACCUUGAGUACUUGGGAUGCCCAGAGAAAGCUCCCAAGCCUUUCCAAUGGAUUUGGAAGUCUGGUUGCCUACCUAAGCAAAAAUUCUUUUUCUGGCUACUUCUUCUGGACAGGUUAAACAAUAGAGAUCUUCUCACCAGGAAAAGUUUCUACAUUGAAAGCACCGUCUGUGUGUUAUGUGAUGAUGAGCCUAAUGAGUACAUGAAACAUCUUUUUUUCAUGUGAUUUCAGCCAAAUUUUUUGUUAUCAAUUGGUUUUGAAUGGAACACUGAUCUGAGCUGCAAUGAGAUUCUUAUUGAAGCCAGAAACAGAACUUAGAUUCAACCCUUUAAAGAAUGCCUAAUUGCUGGUUGUUGGACCAUCUGGAAACAUAGGAAUGGCAUCAUUUUUGACAACAAAGAAAGGGAUUUGAGCUACUGUAUCUCCUGCUGCAAGGACCACUUUGGCACCAUCAUGAAAAGAGUCAGACCUAGUUUAAAGGAGGGAAUGCAAAGCUGGUUGGAUUAUUUGUAG